CCCACACUGCCGCAUGGCAGAGUGAGAAAAGGGAAUACCGCUUUGAGAUGGACUCGCGUCUGAUUAGCCAGUUGGCGGGGUAACGGCCCACCAAAGCGACGAUCAGUAGCCGGACUGAGAGGUUGAUCGGCCACAUUGGGACUGAGACACGGCCCAGACUCCUACGGGAGGCAGCAGUGGGGAAUAUUGCACAAUGGGGGGAACCCUGAUGCAGCGACGCCGCGUGGAGGAAGAAGGUAUUCGUAUUGUAAACUCCUGUCGUGUGGGACGAAGAAUGACGGUACCACACAAGAAAGCACCGGCUAACUACGUGCCAGCAGCCGCGGUAAAACGUAGGGUGCGAGCGUUGUCCGGAAUUACUGGGUGUAAAGGGAGCGCAGGCGGUCAUUUAAGUUGGGUGUCAAAACUACGGGCUCAACCCGUACCCGCACUCAAAACUGAGUGACUUGAGUGGAGCAGAGGUAGGCGGAAUUUCCGGUGUAGCGGUGGAAUGCGUAGAUAUCGGAAGGAACACCAGUGGCGAAGGCGGCCUACUGGGCUUUAACUGACGCUGAGGCUCGAAAGCAUGGGUAGCAAACAG
RNAcentral lists this ribosomal RNA (580 nucleotides) under uncultured rumen bacterium. RNAcentral describes it as "bacterial SSU rRNA". It matches the Rfam family "Bacterial small subunit ribosomal RNA", at positions 173 to 775 of the family's 1533-position model. The record is from RNAcentral.